Molecule: long non-coding RNA, 554 nt
Filed under: Cricetulus griseus (Chinese hamster)
Lineage: Eukaryota; Metazoa; Chordata; Mammalia; Rodentia; Cricetidae
Description: lncRNA (ENSCGRG00015032334.1)
Source: RNAcentral
CGUCAGUCAAUCACUCACCCACACACGGCAAUUACCGCAGGUCCCGCCCAUGGCCCCGCCACUUCCGCUGGCCGCAGGCUCCACCGCCUCCUGGAUCAAGCUCAGAACGCAUCGCCCGCAUCACCGACGCUGCCGCCCAAGGGACGGACCCGCUCUGUGACGCGCUUCCGCUUCCGGUCUGCAGAACGCCGCCCUGGGACACGGUGCCGCCCUCGCUGUGUGAUGCCAGCGCCCGCGUGAGGCACUGCACACCAGACUUCCGGUUGGCUUCAGCUCGCCAGCACUGCAGACUUCCGGUCUGCCAUCGGGGAUCGCGGGGAAAUAGAGUCGGGAAUUUCGCUUUCAAGUUCCAGUGCGCCCUACUUCCGCUUGGCUUCAGGUCGCCAGCGCAACCCGGUUCCCGUCAAGUCUGGCUCGGUGCAAAAGCAGCUCCCGGUUUCCAGUGACUGCUGCUCAGUCCCAGCAUUCCAGUCUUCCGGUCGGCUUCAGCACGCCCAUACUACCGACUUCCGGUUACGGACAAGCGGCUCCGCGCAUGCAAGUGAGCGGCUGUG